UUUUAUUUGAGAGUUUGAUCCUGGCUCAGGAUGAACGCUGGCGGCGUGCCUAACACAUGCAAGUUGAGCGAUUUACUUCGGUAAAGAGCGGCGGACGGGUGAGUAACGCGUGGGUAACCUACCCUGUACACACGGAUAACAUACCGAAAGGUAUGCUAAUACGGGAUAAUAUAUUUGAGAGGCAUCUCUUAAAUAUCAAAGGUGAGCCAGUACAGGAUGGACCCGCGUCUGAUUAGCUAGUUGGUAAGGUAACGGCUUACCAAGGCGACGAUCAGUAGCCGACCUGAGAGGGUGAUCGGCCACAUUGGAACUGAGACACGGUCCAAACUCCUACGGGAGGCAGCAGUGGGGAAUAUUGCACAAUGGGCGAAAGCAUGAUGCAGCAACGCCGCGUGAGUG
RNAcentral lists this ribosomal RNA (399 nucleotides) under Clostridioides difficile. Its description in RNAcentral is "bacterial SSU rRNA". It matches the Rfam family "Bacterial small subunit ribosomal RNA", at positions 1 to 407 of the family's 1533-position model. The record is from RNAcentral. Lineage: Bacteria; Bacillati; Bacillota; Clostridia; Peptostreptococcales; Peptostreptococcaceae.